GGCUGUGUGGUGUAGUGGGUAGAGUGUUGGGCUGGGACCUAGAAGGCCAGGGUUCAAAUCCCCACACAACCA
This 72-nucleotide transfer RNA is filed under the name Podarcis muralis (Common wall lizard). It matches the Rfam family "tRNA". From Rfam's summary of the family: Transfer RNA (tRNA) molecules are approximately 80 nucleotides in length. Their secondary structure includes four short double-helical elements and three loops (D, anti-codon, and T loops). Further hydrogen bonds mediate the characteristic L-shaped molecular structure. tRNAs have two regions of fundamental functional importance: the anti-codon, which is responsible for specific mRNA codon recognition, and the 3' end, to which the tRNAs corresponding amino acid is attached (by aminoacyl-tRNA synthetases). tRNAs cope with the degeneracy of the genetic code in two manners: having more than one tRNA (with a specific anti-codon) for a particular amino acid; and 'wobble' base-pairing, i.e. permitting non-standard base-pairing at the 3rd anti-codon position. RNAcentral also lists the same sequence under 1 other name. Lineage: Eukaryota; Metazoa; Chordata; Lepidosauria; Squamata; Lacertidae. The record is from Rfam by way of RNAcentral.